UAGGGAAUCUUCCACAAUGGACGCAAGUCUGAUGGAGCAACGCCGCGUGAGUGAAGAAGGUUUUCGGACCGUAAAGCUCUGUUGUUGGUGAAGAAGGAUAGAGGUAGUAACUGGCCUUUAUUUGACGGUAAUCAACCAGAAAGUCACGGCUAACUACGUGCCAGCAGCCGCGGUAAUCGUAGGUGGCAAGCGUUGUCCGGAUUUAUUGGGCGUAAAGCGAGCGCAGGCGGAAGAAUAAGUCUGAUGUGAAAGCCCUCGGCUUAACCGAGGAAUUGCAUCGGAAACUGUUUUCUUGAGUGCAGAAGAGGAGAGUAGAACUCCAUGUGUAGCGGUGGAAUGCGUAGAUAUAUGGAAGAAUACCAGUGGCGAAGGCGGCUCUCUGGUCUGCAACUGACGCUGAGGCUCGAAAGCAUGGUAGCGAACAGGAUUAGAUACCCUGGUAGUCCAUGCCGUAAACGAUGAGUGCUAAGUGUUGGGAGGCUUCCGCCUCUCAGUGCUGCAGCUAACGCAUUAAGCACUCCGCCUGGGGGAGUACGACCGCAAGGUUGAAAC
RNAcentral lists this ribosomal RNA (552 nucleotides) under uncultured bacterium. Its description in RNAcentral is "partial 16S ribosomal RNA". It matches the Rfam family "Bacterial small subunit ribosomal RNA", at positions 355 to 900 of the family's 1533-position model. The record is from RNAcentral.